AGUAAUUAAAAACGAAAUGCAUAUAUAAACGCCAUAAUAAGGAUGGCGAGUUUCUACCCAGAACCGUAAAUUCUGGACUAUACGCAAUAAACUCAUCAAA
Molecule: non-coding RNA, 100 nt
Filed under: Pediococcus cellicola
Lineage: Bacteria; Bacillati; Bacillota; Bacilli; Lactobacillales; Lactobacillaceae
Description: Guanine sequence
Rfam family: Purine riboswitch aptamer
About the family: Riboswitches are metabolite binding domains within certain messenger RNAs that serve as precision sensors for their corresponding targets.
Source: Rfam by way of RNAcentral